GUGAGUGUGAAUGCAAGAAAGUUGAAAACAUUGGGAAAAAGGGGGUGUGAUUUUUCUUCUCUAGCAUCCCACGUAUCCCAUCCCAAUUGUCCAAAUUUCUUAUCUUCUUUUGUGCCCGAAAAGUCUUCUCCUUAUCCUAUUUUCCUAGCUGCAUCAGAUCAGAAAGUCCAGCCCUCUUUCUCUACUCUUUUUUCUUUGUUUUUGUUUUUCUUCUCUCUUUGCUCUUACACGGCAGCCUUCCCUCUCUUACCAAAACAAUUUAUCCCUCUCUAAAGAAGAAAUUAAAAGGUUAACACUAAAAUUUCAGCUUCAAAGUUGUGGGUGGUGAGAACGAGAACGAGAACACAACCACUUGAGCUUCUCUUGUAUAAUCUUUUGCGCCUUCCGUUUACAGUGCAUAGGUUCUUCCUGGAAGCAGUGAGAGUAUUAGAGGUGGCAAGGAUUCUGUGUUUUCUCAUUUUGUUAGAAUGUAGAGUUUUGUUGUAUAGUAGUUAGCUCUUUUGUUGUAUAGGAGGAAUCAAGAUGUACUUGAUCCUUUGAGCACAUAUGUAAUUCGGUACCUUAGUUUGUUUUGAACCCCAGUUGUAUGUCUUUGGGUUUAGGUUUGUAAUAAGAGUUUUGCUAAAUGUUUAGUUAUGUAAUAUUUACAUGUAUACCUUAAGUUUCAGCCAGGUGGUAUUUUUCCAAGUUCGAAGGAAAUGAAAUUUGAAGGUUGCCAUCAUUUUUGUA
Molecule: long non-coding RNA, 729 nt
Organism: Quercus robur (English oak)
Lineage: Eukaryota; Viridiplantae; Streptophyta; Magnoliopsida; Fagales; Fagaceae
Exons: 3
Source: RefSeq, a predicted model, not a curated record